UGAGUUAUCUAGUAAACCCAAGUGGUAGAACACAAAUCUAGCAAGUUUUGAAACCUUUGGGGCUAUUUUCCCCAAAAUAGUCCACUUUGAAUGUUAAGGGUUCAAAACCCUAAAAUAGUUACUAUUCCAUUUUUCUUGAGGCUAUUUCGGUCAGUUUCUAGUCUUUAAAAAUCUAGGAAAAAAUCACAGAGGUACCUUGAGAAGUUAUUACAUGUAGGAAAAAGAUCGGACGCGUUUCGAUGUAUAGGUUGUGCGUAAUGGCUAUUUCUGUAAAGGACUCCAAAAUAUUAACCUUCGAAUAUCUCACUGUGUAUACACUAGAAAAUUCCGAAAUUUGUACAGUAG
Molecule: long non-coding RNA, 345 nt
Filed under: Panax ginseng (ginseng)
Lineage: Eukaryota; Viridiplantae; Streptophyta; Magnoliopsida; Apiales; Araliaceae
Description: long non-coding RNA (PGIN_LNC019233)
Source: RNAcentral